GUUUUUAAUUAAAAAAGUAUUACUCCAUUUGCGAUUCUCAUCCUCACAUUCUGUGCGCUUUACGCUGUGUCAGGAUGGCGGCAAAAGAAUGGGAGUUAACUUUGACAGAGUGAAGUAUUGGCUUUCAGUUGGUGCACAACCCUCUGAUCCUGUUCAGCGCCUUCUAUUUCGAGCAGGCUUAUUACCCCCACCACCCAUGCUAGCAAUGGGACGGAAAGGAGGUCCACGAGACAUGCGCCCAGUUGAUCCACUGAGUGGGCGUUUUAUGACGGAGGCGAUGCAAGUAAAACAAAAAGUUGACGAUGGUGGGAGUGCGAGAUGUUGACAUGUCAUGCUUAAGAUAUAAGAUGGUGCAUUGUUUACCUUUUUUUGUCAUGUAUGCCUUCCCUGAACAUGGACAAGAGGGAUAUCCAGAGAAAAAUGGUAUUUGUGUCAACCUUUCUUGUGUUUAGUAGACAUGAUCAGCUUUUUCCUAGCUGGUUUGGUGGUUGUGAUUAUCAUGUGUGCUGUUUAUUUAAUUAUUAAGCAGGAUAGAGCAAUCUUUUUCCCUCUGUAGGUGGGUGAGUCAAGUACUAAAGCUCAUUCUUUGUACGAUGGAAUUAAAUAAGGGUGGAAUAGAAUGAGGAUGGAAAUGGAAUGAAGAUGUGUAUGAAUGACAAU
This is a long non-coding RNA of Salvia splendens (bonfire salvia), 660 nucleotides long. RefSeq lists it as uncharacterized. The transcript has 3 exons. NCBI's taxonomy places the organism in Eukaryota, Viridiplantae, Streptophyta, Magnoliopsida, Lamiales, Lamiaceae. The record is from RefSeq and is a predicted model, not a curated record.